RNAcentral lists this ribosomal RNA (371 nucleotides) under uncultured organism. RNAcentral describes it as "partial 16S ribosomal RNA". It matches the Rfam family "Bacterial small subunit ribosomal RNA", at positions 527 to 896 of the family's 1533-position model. The record is from RNAcentral.
GAAGGGGGCUAGCGUUGCUCGGAAUCACUGGGCGUAAAGGGUGCGUAGGCGGGUCUUUAAGUCAGGGGUGAAAUCCUGGAGCUCAACUCCAGAACUGCCUUUGAUACUGAAGAUCUUGAGUUCGGGAGAGGUGAGUGGAACUGCGAGUGUAGAGGUGAAAUUCGUAGAUAUUCGCAAGAACACCAGUGGCGAAGGCGGCUCACUGGCCCGAUACUGACGCUGAGGCACGAAAGCGUGGGGGGAGCAAACAGGAUUAGAUACCCUGGUAGUCCACGCCGUAAACGAUGAAUGCCCAGCCGUUGGAAAGUUUACUUUUCAGUGGCGCAGCUAACGCUUUAAGCAUUCCGCCUGGGAGUACGGUCGCAAGAUUA